ACGAACGCUGGCGGUAUGCUUAACACAUGCAAGUCGAACGGGUAUAGCAAUAUAUCAGUGGCAAACGGGUGAGUAAUGCAAAGGAAUCUACCUAGCAGUAAGGGAUAACUUCGAGAAAUCGAAGCUAAUACCAUAUAUUACCCUUCGGGGGAAAGAUUUAUCGCUGUUAGAUGAGCCUUUGUCGGAUUAGCUAGUUGGUAGGGUAAUGGCCUACCAAGGCGAUGAUCCGUAGCUGGUCUGAGAGGAUGAUCAGCCACACUGGGACUGCGACACGGCCCAGACUCCUACGGGAGGCAGCAGUGGGGAAUAUUGGACAAUGGGCGCAAGCCUGAUCCAGCAAUACCGCGUGAAUGAUGAAGGUCUUCGGAUUGUAAAGUUCUUUUAGUGAGGAAGAUAAUGACGGUACUCACAGAAAAAGCACCGGCUAACUUCGU
This 434-nucleotide ribosomal RNA is filed under the name uncultured bacterium. RNAcentral's name for it is "bacterial SSU rRNA". It matches the Rfam family "Bacterial small subunit ribosomal RNA", at positions 29 to 506 of the family's 1533-position model. The record is from RNAcentral.